CAGUAGCCACGGUAAUCCGUAGGUGGCAAGCGUUGUCCGGAAUUAUUGGGCGUAAAGGGCUCGCAGGCGGUUUCUUAAGUCCGAUGUGAAAGCCCCCGGCUCAACCGGGGAGGGUCAUUGGAAACUGGGAAACUUGAGUGCAGAAGAGGAGAGUGGAAUUCCACGUGUAGCGGUGAAAUGCGUAGAGAUGUGGAGGAACACCAGUGGCGAAGGCGACUCUCUGGUCUGUAACUGACGCUGAGGAGCGAAAGCGUGGGGAGCGAACAGGAUUAGAUACCCCCGUAGUCCCUGUCUCUUAUAC
RNAcentral lists this ribosomal RNA (301 nucleotides) under uncultured bacterium. RNAcentral's name for it is "partial 16S ribosomal RNA". It matches the Rfam family "Bacterial small subunit ribosomal RNA", at positions 509 to 807 of the family's 1533-position model. The record is from RNAcentral.